This 253-nucleotide ribosomal RNA is filed under the name uncultured bacterium. Its description in RNAcentral is "partial 16S ribosomal RNA". It matches the Rfam family "Bacterial small subunit ribosomal RNA", at positions 524 to 776 of the family's 1533-position model. The record is from RNAcentral.
UACAGAGACUGCAAGCGUUAUUCGGAUUCACUGGGCGUAAAGGGUGCGUAGGCGGGUUUUUAAGUCAGAGGUGAAAUCCUGGAGCUCAACUCCAGAACUGCCUUUGAUACUGAGAAGCUUGAGUCCGGGAGAGGUGAGUGGAACUGCGAGUGUAGAGGUGAAACUCGUAGAUAUUCGCAAGAACACCAGUGGCGAAGGCGGCUCACUGGCCCGGUACUGACGCUGAGGUGCGAAAGCGUGGGGAGCAAACAGG